Molecule: long non-coding RNA, 237 nt
Filed under: Fukomys damarensis (Damara mole-rat)
Lineage: Eukaryota; Metazoa; Chordata; Mammalia; Rodentia; Bathyergidae
Description: lncRNA (ENSFDAG00000022297.1)
Source: RNAcentral
GUAAUUUAUUGGCUGAUUUCUAUGUGCCCACCAGUAUACUCACCAUGCAUCAGUCCUGACUUCCAAGGCACAGCUGUAAAUGUGUGUCUUCUUGGCUUACACUGGUUUUGGAGACCAAGGUGGAAGAAACACUGCAAUGUUUGUGACAGUCCUAAACAAGAAAAGAUUGUCUUACCAAAAUACUAAGGACUCCUCGCUGAAAAAUAUCAGCAAGAAAACAACGCAAUUCACCCCGAG